UACGUUCGUUGGGUAGGGGAGCGUUCUGUAAGCCUGUGAAGGUGUGUCGUGAGGCAUGCUGGAGGUAUCAGAAGUGCGAAUGCUGACAUAAGUAACGAUAAAGCGGGUGAAAAGCCCGCUCGCCGGAAGACCAAGGGUUCCUGUCCAACGUUAAUCGGGGCAGGGUGAGUCGACCCCUAAGGCGAGGCCGAAAGGCGUAGUCGAUGGGAAACGGGUUAAUAUUCCCGUACUUGGUGUUACUGCGAAGGGGGGACGGAGAAGGCUAUGUUGGCCGGGCGACGGUUGUCCCGGUUUAAGCGUGUAGGUGUGUGUUCCAGGUAAAUCCGGUUCACUUUAACACUGAGGCGUGACGACGAGGCACUACGGUGCUGAAGCAACAAAUGCCCUGCUUCCAGGAAAAGCCUCUAAGCAUCAGGUAACACGAAAUCGUACCCCAAACCGACACAGGUGGUCAGGUAGAGAAUACCAAGGCGCUUGAGAGAACUCGGGUGAAGGAACUAGGCAAAAUGGUGCCGUAACUUCGGGAGAAGGCACGCUGACACGUAGGUGAAGUGAUUUACUCAUGGAGCUGA
This 572-nucleotide ribosomal RNA is filed under the name Salmonella enterica subsp. enterica. Its description in RNAcentral is "partial 23S ribosomal RNA". It matches the Rfam family "Bacterial large subunit ribosomal RNA", at positions 1216 to 1780 of the family's 2925-position model. The record is from RNAcentral. Lineage: Bacteria; Pseudomonadati; Pseudomonadota; Gammaproteobacteria; Enterobacterales; Enterobacteriaceae.